AUACGUAGGUGGCAAGCGUUGUCCGGAAUUAUUGGGCGUAAAGCGCGCGCAGGUGGUUCCUUAAGUCUGAUAUGAAAGCCCCCGGCUCAACCGGGGAGGGUCAUUGGAAACUGGGGAACUUGAGUGCAGAAGAGGAUAGUGGAAUUCCAAGUGUAGCGGUGAAAUGCGUAGAGAUUUGGAGGAACACCAGUGGCGAGGGCGACUGUCGGGUCUGUAACUGACACUGAGGCGCGAAAGCGUGGGGAGAAAACAGGAUUAGAUACCCUGGUAGCCCACGCCGUAAACGAUGAGUGCUAAGUGUUGGGAGGUUUCCGCCCCUCAGUGCUGCAGCUAAAGCAUUAAGCACUCCGCCUGGGGAGUACGGUUGCAAGACUGAAACUCAAAGGAAUUGACGGGG
RNAcentral lists this ribosomal RNA (397 nucleotides) under uncultured bacterium. RNAcentral describes it as "partial 16S ribosomal RNA". It matches the Rfam family "Bacterial small subunit ribosomal RNA", at positions 523 to 918 of the family's 1533-position model. The record is from RNAcentral.